Molecule: ribosomal RNA, 723 nt
Filed under: uncultured bacterium
Lineage: Bacteria
Description: bacterial SSU rRNA
Rfam family: Bacterial small subunit ribosomal RNA
Source: RNAcentral
CAUGCAAGUCGAGGGGAAACGAUAUUGGAAGCUUGCUUCCGAUAGGCGUCGACCGGCGCACGGGUGAGUAACGCGUAUCCAACCUGCCCACCACUUGGGGAUAACCUUGCGAAAGUAAGACUAAUACCCAAUGACGUCUCUAGAAGACAUCUGAAAGAGAUUAAAGAUUUAUCGGUGAUGGAUGGGGAUGCGUCUGAUUAGCUUGUUGGCGGGGUAACGGCCCACCAAGGCUACGAUCAGUAGGGGUUCUGAGAGGAAGGUCCCCCACAUUGGAACUGAGACACGGUCCAAACUCCUACGGGAGGCAGCAGUGAGGAAUAUUGGUCAAUGGACGAGAGUCUGAACCAGCCAAGUAGCGUGCAGGAUGACGGCCCUAUGGGUUGUAAACUGCUUUUAUAAGGGAAUAAAGUGAGUCUCGUGAGACUUUUUGCAUGUACCUUAUGAAUAAGGACCGGCUAAUUCCGUGCCAGCAGCCGCGGUAAUACGGAAGGUCCGGGCGUUAUCCGGAUUUAUUGGGUUUAAAGGGAGCGUAGGCCGGAGAUUAAGCGUGUUGUGAAAUGUAGACGCUCAACGUCUGCACUGCAGCGCGAACUGGUUUCCUUGAGUACGCACAAAGUGGGCGGAAUUCGUGGUGUAGCGGUGAAAUGCUUAGAUAUCACGAAGAACUCCGAUUGCGAAGGCAGCUCACUGGAGCGCAACUGACGCUGAAGCUCGAAAGUGCGG